GAGUUUGAUCUUGGCUCAGAUUGAACGCUGGCGGCAGGCCUAACACAUGCAAGUCGAGCGGUAGAGAGAAGCUUGCUUCUCUUGAGAGCGGCGGACGGGUGAGUAAUGCCUAGGAAUCUGCCUGGUAGUGGGGGAUAACGCUCGGAAACGGACGCUAAUACCGCAUACGUCCUACGGGAGAAAGCAGGGGACCUUCGGGCCUUGCGCUAUCAGAUGAGCCUAGGUCGGAUUAGCUAGUUGGUGAGGUAAUGGCUCACCAAGGCGACGAUCCGUAACUGGUCUGAGAGGAUGAUCAGUCACACUGGAACUGAGACACGGUCCAGACUCCUACGGGAGGCAGCAGUGGGGGAAUAUUGGACAAUGGGCGAAAGCCUGAUCCAGCCAUGCCGCGUGUGUGAAGAAGGUCUUCGGAUUGUAAAGCACUUUAAGUUGGGAGGAAGGGCAGUAAAUUAAUACUUUGCUGUUUUGACGUUACCGACAGAAUAAGCACCGGCUAACUCUGUG
This 504-nucleotide ribosomal RNA is filed under the name uncultured bacterium. Its description in RNAcentral is "bacterial SSU rRNA". It matches the Rfam family "Bacterial small subunit ribosomal RNA", at positions 9 to 507 of the family's 1533-position model. The record is from RNAcentral.